UCCACUAUUUAGUGGUAGAGUACAAAGCUCUUAACCUUGUGGAUGUGGGUUCAAGCCCCAUGGUGGAG
RNAcentral lists this transfer RNA (68 nucleotides) under Triticum aestivum (bread wheat). It matches the Rfam family "tRNA". Rfam says of the family: Transfer RNA (tRNA) molecules are approximately 80 nucleotides in length. Lineage: Eukaryota; Viridiplantae; Streptophyta; Magnoliopsida; Poales; Poaceae. The record is from Rfam by way of RNAcentral.